UACGGGGGGAGCAAGCGUUGUUCGGAUUUACUGGGCGUAAAGGGCGCGUAGGCGGUCAGCACAAGUCAGUUGUGAAAUCUCCGGGCUUAACCCGGAAAGGUCAACUGAUACUGUGCGACUAGAGUGCGGAAGGGGCGACUGGAAUUCUCGGUGUAGCGGUGAAAUGCGUAGAUAUCGAGAGGAACACCUGCGGCGAAGGCGGGUUGCUGGGCCGACACUGACGCUGAUGCGCGAAAGCCAGGGGAGCGAACGGG
This 254-nucleotide ribosomal RNA is filed under the name uncultured bacterium. RNAcentral describes it as "partial 16S ribosomal RNA". It matches the Rfam family "Bacterial small subunit ribosomal RNA", at positions 524 to 776 of the family's 1533-position model. The record is from RNAcentral.